This is a long non-coding RNA of Bos grunniens (domestic yak), 2315 nucleotides long. Lineage: Eukaryota; Metazoa; Chordata; Mammalia; Artiodactyla; Bovidae. The record is from Ensembl.
AAAAAAAUGUGUUGCACUAUUUUAAUAGUUUAGAAUUAUCUGCAUCAACUAAUUAUAGGUAGGUCACAUUCAUUUAAUUAGGAAUCUUUAAAACUAGGAACAUUUUUCACUUUCCUUUUCAUGAGUUGAAGACUUAGUGAUUUCAAAGGUUUUCCUACCUUAACAUCCAAAGACUCUGCUUCUUUUGCCACACAAGGUGCUGCGAAUCCUGCCCCCCGAAGCCAAAAUGUAUUGUGUUACUAAAAAUUGCUAGAGAGACUCUGGGAGCUUCACAGAAAACCCCCAAAUCUUGUCAAAUUUGCAUUGUCUCUUGUUGAUUAUUUUAUUCUUAUUAAUCCAUCAGGAUAUUUGUCCCCACCUACUCACUAAGACAGAGGACCUCAAUCGUCCUUCAACAACAUCUGGAGCUGGGGCUGGAAGAAAUCCCUUGGGGCCUCCAAGCUUGCUGCCCAGGAAAGAAGAACCACAGUUUCCUCUGUGGCUGGCUGGAUCAGCCAACGCUGUCCCUCACUCUGUCCGUAAUGGUCAGUCAGCCAAGGAAAGAGUCUCUAGUUUGGCCUACUCAUCUGCACCAAAAAAUAUCAAGAAGUUUUAUUCAAGCAGAGCUAACACUAUCAGCAAGUAUCAUUCUAAAGCCAAUAUGGUGCAUGACAAUAGGAAUCACAACAAGCAAUGUCAAAGCAAAGUGAGACACAAGGGGAGAGAGUUGCUUUCAACAAUCUAGAUACAUCUUCACUUCAAAGAUAGAUUUUGACCAAAUUGCUCUGGAAUGCCCCCUAGGCAUCAGGGGAUUUUAAGGUUCUGCCAGGUUGAGAAUACUGGACUACAGAGUCUAACACUGAGAGGCUACAGGGCUUUGCAGCAAAAUCAAGGUAAAGGCAAGGUAAUCAUUUGUAAACGUAACAUAUUUACCACUGGGCUUUGGGAGCAGUUUUAUCCCAUUCUCAUCUCAUGCUAAAUUUGGAGUCAGUUAAAAAGUACUAAAGAAAACGCUUUUUAUUUACCUUAUUUAAACCUUCUAUAAUGUCUAUAGUACACUGAUUUUACAAGUGGAAAACAGGUAUAGAGAGAUUAGGCAUUUUCACAGUACCUAGGGCACAUGGGAGGGUGUUAUACUCAUACCACUAAUUGAUAUACAUUUCUCUUGGCACUUAGGAUCUAGGCAUAAACAUGUAUUAGAUGCAUAUUUCAUCACUUAGACUGUAAGCUCUUCAUCACCUGUUAUUUUAAUCAUUCGUUUAUGUAUUUAUACAUUCAUUCAUGCAUCGUGUCGACAAGAAAUUAAUAGUCAAUCUAAGGAAGAAAUGGAAAAUUGUUUUCAGGCCAAUUUGAGGUUUAUAAACCUGGGGAAAGCUCUGAGUGUUGGGGCCAGUGUGAGGGAAGCAGGAGAGACUCCAUACUGAAUCGUGUCAUGCGUCUUACAGACAGGAUGUGAACUGGGCCUGAACCCUGCCCAGGAGUGAGGAAACUUGCUAGUGAAAACCAGGUCUCCUGGAGACUUCCUUCCCUGCAGAUGGCAAAGGGAGAUUGUAGUUGAGGUCAGGCUGCCCCUGUUAGAUUCAUCAUGGAGACAUCCCCCUUUGAUGUAUAAUCAUUGUUCCCCUCUCUUUAACCUUAAUUGUUUGUUCUCCUAGCACCUACUUGUUGUAAAACUCAGUCCUAUACAACAAAGAGGUUGCUAACAAGUAACAAGUCACGUGGGCAGGGUGGGGGUGUAUAAAACUGGGCCCCUCAGAAACAUCAGGGUCCUUGUUGGGAACUGAUUCCCCUUGGACUCACUGGCGUAAUAAACUGUACUCCACUGUGUUUUGCGACUCUGGAUUCCGCAACAUGAGGAGUGGUCUCCCUGUUGAGGGCAAAGCACAAUUAUAUACUAUACGUUUUUGAGACAAAGGGUUAUACAUCAAAUGAUGCAUUGACAGUUUAUACAGUCCAGAUAUGCGCUUUCAAAGUGAGUAGGGAGUCAUCGUGGCCCCUUACAGGAUUGCGGUGGAAGGUUAUCUCCUAAAGAGGUCUGGUUACUGUGCAGGCACAAUACACACUAAAGGAGAGGGGGGACCAGCAGACAAAAUCCUUAUGUUUAAAUUUUUCUUGUCUUGCCAAUAAAGUAUGAAUUUUCUUUUUUUUUUUUUUGAGUCAUAACGGGCUGCAGUGGUGAACUAGACUGACAUCAGGGUCCCAAUCUUAGUGAGCUGGGGUCCGUGGAAGGCACAGGAGGAAGACCAGGCAAUUAACAUAAAAUUAACAUAAAACAAGAGCUUGAAGGCGGUAAUUUACAAAGAUGGAGAGCUACCUUAUCUUUAGGUGGGGAAGAG